This is a long non-coding RNA of Melospiza melodia melodia, 1761 nucleotides long. RefSeq lists it as uncharacterized. The transcript has 3 exons. NCBI's taxonomy places the organism in Eukaryota, Metazoa, Chordata, Aves, Passeriformes, Passerellidae. The record is from RefSeq and is a predicted model, not a curated record.
GCAGUCCCAGGGUGAGCGCUCAGGCACGGCCGCCCCCAGCUCCAUUUCCUGCGUGCGGCGUUAUCGGCCCAUCUGCUGCGCGCUCAGCCCGAACUGCCCCUGAUUAAUCGAGCUCUGCUGCCUUUGAUGCGGCAGCCCCGGGACACAGGAAAUGUCCCUGGCAGCGAGACGGAGCCCGGCCAUCCCCUGCUGCCCGGGGCCCUGCGAUCAGCCUACCCUGACCACGCCGGGGCUCUGCCUCCAUCACCUUCCUGCGCUUCAUUCCAGCAGGGCUCAGGAGGGAUACGGGGCCAGGACCCUUCACCUGCACCCCGUUACCCCCAAUACACGAUAAACAUCCUGCAAGCACCAGGGCAGGAUGUGAGCUGUGUCCUCCCAGCCCCCAGAACCUCUUUUCCCACCAACCAUUCUGUGCCCAAGCUACUGCUGAAAAAAUUCAUCUUUGGGCAUGGAUUUCUUUCUUGGUGGUCAGCAGUUUCAUCAGCCAGAGGUGGAUGGAGUGUGACACAUGCAGUGUAGGGAGACCAUAAAUGCUGUUCACCACCCAAAUACCUGAAUAUUUUUGGUGAUUUGGGUUUCUAUCAUUGACUGGGGCUACCAGGGGCUGUGCCCUGGCUCCUCCACACUUUGCCUCGGCAUAAGGCAGGGAGCCCCCACCAUAUCCCAAAACCUGUUCCGUGGUGGAGGUGGCUGCUCCAGGUCCUGCCAGGGGGACGGAGCAGGAGGGAGGUCCCUGCUCACCCCCAGCUCCCUUAUCAGAUGCUGCUGUUAGACCUGGAAGGGGCAAAUACCUCUCUGUUCCUUUGACAACGCUCGGGGCCGAGGCACGGCGUUUAUGACGUUGGCAAACACCUGAUAGCCAGGGCCAGUCCCUAAUGACAUGUCACGGGAGCCUCCUGGCGUCUCCUUAUCUGCGCCUGAUGAUGUUUGCUGUGCAAGGUCACCCCGCCCCUGCCGGGCCCGCCGGGGGGACCCCCGGGAUGGGCAGGGAUGGGGAAGGGGCCCUGCAGUGGGAUGGAUGUGGCGGGGGGGGCUCUGUCCCUGGAGAUGAGAGCAUUGCUGGGGAUGAGCCCCGGCACUGCUCCCACCCCAGCCGAGCUCAGCCCCACGCCUGGCUGCUCCCGGGCACAAACACGACUCCUGGCACAGCCUGGGCACAAACAGGACCUUUUCUGGCGUUAUUAUUUUUGGGAGGGGUGGCAAUAGCUGGCUAAGAAAGUAUUUUCUCACUGGCUCCCCCAUAGGGGUGCCAGGGAGGGCUGGGGGCUGAGCAGGGCAGCACCAAGGUGGUCACAGAGCAGGGCAGGAGGGGAUGCAGGGAUGCAGGAGGGGAUCAGGGAUGCAGGAGAUGAUGCAGGGAUACAGGAGGUGAUGCAGGGAUACAGGAGGUGAUGCAGGAGGUGAUGCAGGGAUACAGGAGGUGAUGCAGGAGGGGAUGCAGGGAUACAGGAGGUGAUCAGGAGGUGAUGCAGGAGGGGAUGCAGGGAUACAGGAGGUGAUCAGGAGGUGAUGCAGGGAUACAGGAGGGGAUGCAGGGAUACAGGAGGUGACCAGGAGGUGAUGCAGGGAUACAGGAGGUGAUGCAGGAGGGGAUGCAGGGAUACAGGAGGUGAUCAGGAGGUGAUGCAGGGAUACAGGAGGUGAUGCAGGAGGGGAUGCAGGGAUGCAGGAGGUGAUGCAGGAGGGGAUGCAGGGGGCAGUGCCUCCGAAUGCUUUGUGUUGCUGCCUCCUCCUGCCGGCGCCGCUCACUGUGCCGCUCUC